UUCAUUAAUAGUUAUGCUUAAAUAACAUAGAGGGUAGUUUAGUAAAAUCCUUAGGAAAUACCAAAAGCUAAUUACGAAAAUAACUCUCCCUCUUGACUUAUAUAUAGAGAUAGAUAAACAUAAAUCAUUUUAAUUUGUUCAUCAAUUCGUAGCAAUGGCAACAAACCGCACCAUUUUGUUUGUUUUCAUCGUUUGUUCUCUUCUGAUCAUGGCAAAUUGUGACAACGUCGAAAGGCAGGGAAGAUCAAAGAUGAUGGAGCAAAGAAAACAUCUGUCCAAGAAAAUAACACUCCUAACUUGCCAGAAGGUUGAAUGUGGAAGUUUAUUUUCUCGAGAGCCAUGUUAUUGUUGUUUAGAUAACCAGUGUUUUGAUACUAAAGAUCGGUGCCUCAAAGUAUGUCCUAAUCAUCUCCAUUAAAUUAUAUAUCGAUUUGGACUAAAUAUCGAUUCAGGAUUUACGUACGUACUACUACGUUUAUGUUUAAUUGUAAUAUAUAACUAGUGUAUGUUCCGGACGUUGCUCCGAAUUUUACUUUUAGUGGGGUUUACUUUUUGUAAAAAUGUGCCCAUUUUUAAAAGAUUGUAUUUUACUUUUAUAUGAGAAGAUAUAACAUACAUUGUAGCUAGCUAA
Spinacia oleracea (spinach) is the source of this 631-nucleotide long non-coding RNA. RefSeq lists it as uncharacterized. The transcript has 2 exons. Lineage: Eukaryota; Viridiplantae; Streptophyta; Magnoliopsida; Caryophyllales; Amaranthaceae. The record is from RefSeq and is a predicted model, not a curated record.